UACAGAGGGGGCAAGCGUUGUACGGAAUUACUGGGCGUAAAGGGCGCGUAGGCGGCCUGCUAAGUCGAACGUGAAAUCCCCGAGCUCAACUCGGGAACUGCGUCCGAUACUGGCAGGCUUGAAUCCGGGAGAGGGAUGCGGAAUUCCAGGUGUAGCGGUGAAAUGCGUAGAUAUCGGGAGGAACACCAGUGGCGAAGGCGACUACCUGGCCUGUUCUUGACGCUGAGGCGCGAAAGCUAGGGGAGCGAACGGG
Molecule: ribosomal RNA, 253 nt
Filed under: uncultured bacterium
Lineage: Bacteria
Description: partial 16S ribosomal RNA
Rfam family: Bacterial small subunit ribosomal RNA
Source: RNAcentral